GACGAACGCUGGCGGCGUGCUUAACACAUGCAAGUCGAACGGAAAGGCCCUGCUUUUGUGGGGUGCUCGAGUGGCGAACGGGUGAGUAACACGUGAGUAACCUGCCCUUGACUUUGGGAUAACUUCAGGAAACUGGGGCUAAUACCGGAUAGGAGCUCCUGCUGCAUGGUGGGGGUUGGAAAGUUUCGGCGGUUGGGGAUGGACUCGCGGCUUAUCAGCUUGUUGGUGGGGUAGUGGCUUACCAAGGCUUUGACGGGUAGCCGGCCUGAGAGGGUGACCGGCCGCAUUGGGACUGAGAUACGGCCCAGACUCCUACGGGAGGCAACGGUGGGGAAUAUUGCACAAUGGGCGGAAGCCUGAUGCAGCAACGCCGCGUGCGGGAUGACGGCCAUCGGGUUGUAAACCGCUUUCGCCUGUGACGAAGCGUGAGUGACGGUAAUGGGUAAAGAAGCACCGGCUAACUACGUG
Molecule: ribosomal RNA, 468 nt
Filed under: uncultured bacterium
Lineage: Bacteria
Description: partial 16S ribosomal RNA
Rfam family: Bacterial small subunit ribosomal RNA
Source: RNAcentral